This 79-nucleotide ribosomal RNA is filed under the name Staphylococcus delphini. The record is from RNAcentral. Lineage: Bacteria; Bacillati; Bacillota; Bacilli; Caryophanales; Staphylococcaceae.
UCUGGUGCCAAUGGCAAAGAGGUCACACCUGUUCCCAUGCCGAACACAGAAGUUAAGCUCUUUAGCGCCGAUGGUAGUC